This 498-nucleotide ribosomal RNA is filed under the name uncultured bacterium. RNAcentral's name for it is "partial 16S ribosomal RNA". It matches the Rfam family "Bacterial small subunit ribosomal RNA", at positions 30 to 523 of the family's 1533-position model. The record is from RNAcentral.
AUUGAACGCUGGCGGCAUGCCUUACACAUGCAAGUCGAACGGUAACAGGUCUUCGGAUGCUGACGAGUGGCGAACGGGUGAGUAAUACAUCGGAACGUGCCUAGUAGUGGGGGAUAACUACUCGAAAGAGUGGCUAAUACCGCAUGAGAUCUACGGAUGAAAGCAGGGGAUCGCAAGACCUUGUGCUACUAGAGCGGCCGAUGGCAGAUUAGGUAGUUGGUGGGAUAAAAGCUUACCAAGCCGACGAUCUGUAGCUGGUCUGAGAGGACGAUCAGCCACACUGGGACUGAGACACGGCCCAGACUCCUACGGGAGGCAGCAGUGGGGAAUUUUGGACAAUGGGCGCAAGCCUGAUCCAAGAAUGCCGCGUGCAGGAUGAAGGCCUUCGGGUUGUAAACUGCUUUUGUACGGAACGAAAAGCCCCGGGUUAAUACCCUGGGGUCAUGACGGUACCGUAAGAAUAAGCACCGGCUAACUACGUGCCAGCCGCCGCCGUAA